GUAUUUCCUCUUCGAGAGAAAAGAUAAUGUUGAUAAAUCUGACACUUCCACAGUAAAACCUCAGUCAAGGGGCAGGGCAAAAACUACAGAGGGGCUUUAGAUCACCCAGAAACCCUUCAAAGCCCGUGAUUUUGAUGGUGAGGUUUGGCUACUUGAUCCCCCCUGUGGGCAGAACUGUGCUUCCUCCUAAGACAAACAGCUUGGUGGCGCCUUCUGGUGGUAUGUUUGGGAGCAGACAGAUGAGACCAGAAACGGCUCUUCGGGGGUGUGUGAACUCCUCAAAUAUCACUUUUCUUGCAGAAAAGCAUAGACUAUGAGGUAUACAAAAAGCUGCAACCUCAGUCAAUGCAAUAUGUGUAACUGGCACAACAAAUUCACCCAACAAAUACAUGGAAGAAGUCUGCAGUAAAUUUUGACAUUCUCCAAAGGGUGAGAUAAAGGCAAAACACCUUUUUUUCCUGUCACUUAUUAUAUUCAUUCUGUUCAUUUUUUCCUUGCCUGCAGCCAACCACAAGGCAGGAGGGAGGGGCAAUGCCUCUGGUCACACAGGUGACACCAAUAGAUAGGCAGAAGACUUUUCCAGCCAUCUUCUCUUUGGGUCAGGAAAAUGCACCAAGUCCUCUAUAGGGUAUUUCUUGCCUCUUUAAAUAUUUCAGGCCAAGGAAGAGGUGGUGGAUGUGUGGGAAUGGUAAAAGCCAUCAGAAUCUCCAGCUUCAACUGUAGACAGAUAGAUCGGCUCUUGAGCAAACCAGAUUUAAACCACAAAGCUGCAAAUAAUCAGGUAAAUGCUUCUUCACCUCAUCAGUACUUGCAUCAUACCCAUCUGUGGUGUUGCAUUUAGCAGAACGUGUCUGGCCAUGCUUUUAUGCCAGGGGUGUGCUUUUUGAUAUCCCUGUGAGAAUACACCUGUAUUUGGCUGAAUUACCAAGCAAUGGAAAACGCAGGAAAAAUGGAAAACUUUUGUUCUAUGCCCUCACUUGCACAGAAAGCUGCAGUUACACAAGCCUGCGGUGCAGCUGGCUCACAAAGCUUCACCUUACCUCUGACUGCAGCGCCAGGCUCCUGCGGGCCGGGAGCUGAGCUCUGCAGCUGAGGCUGUGGGGCAGGAGGCUGCCCCGCUCUGCUCCUGGUGCCCCCACAUGCAUCCCAUGUGCUGGCAGGGAUCGGAGCUGGGUACACCACUGGUGGGUCGGGCAGGACUGGAAUAGGUAGGGCUGGAUCCGAUGACGGGUGGGUGCUCCAGCUGGACGUGGACACCUGGAGCUUGGAGUCCAUUAAUAUGGGACUGUGAGAAGUUAUGAAAAGUGUGGCAGGGAGCUGGAAAGGGAAACUAAUGUAUGAAGAUCGGGCCUUGCUGGGCAGGGUUGAGAAGAAGGGGAAACAAUCUGGAAUACUGGCUGACACUCUUAAAAACCACAUAACUGCACAAGAGCAGUCUUUUCAAGCUGAUGUGGAGUUAGUAGGUCACCAUACCGAAGUUUAACCUUGAAGUCGCUUCUGUGUUUGAAGAAACUAUCUUCUUAUUUUUGUAGAUUGAGAGCCACCCAUACCUUCCUCAGGAAGAGCUGAUUAAGUUUUGCCAGUCCAAGGGGAUCUCUGUCACUACAUACGCUCCAGUCCCUUGGAGCACCCAACUGGCCAUGGUAAGAAUGCUUUGUGAGACGACUUCUCACACAUAUAUUGGAGCCAGUACAAUGACCAGAAUCAGUGUGUGGAUAAGCCCUUAUAGAGUAAAACUGAUAUAACUAGAAAAAUGCUUGACAAUUUCUUAAAAAGGACAGACAGAAACCUUUCUCAUGCUUAUUGUGAUAUCCAGUCCACUAAUUCGCUCCUGUGCUGUUACUAGAUCUUCAUGUUUAGGAGAAAAAGGAUCAUUUGGUUGGUGAAAGUUGUGAAGAUAAUUCUUAAUUGAACUUUGGCAAGCUUAUUAAACACAUAAGAAAACUUCUGAUCUAAAAAAACACCAACAAACAAAUAAAGCCAAAGCACCACACA
Molecule: long non-coding RNA, 1995 nt
Organism: Anser brachyrhynchus (Pink-footed goose)
Lineage: Eukaryota; Metazoa; Chordata; Aves; Anseriformes; Anatidae
Source: Ensembl